This 507-nucleotide ribosomal RNA is filed under the name uncultured bacterium. RNAcentral describes it as "partial 16S ribosomal RNA". The record is from RNAcentral.
GGAGUUAGCCGGUGCUUCUUCUGUGAGUGAUGUCCUUCCUGCCGGUUAUUGACCCGCAGGCCUUCUUCCUCACUGAAAGUGCUUUACAACCCGAAGGCCUUCUUCACACACGCGGCAUGGCUGGAUCAGGGUUGCCCCCAUUGUCCAAUAUUCCCCACUGCUGCCUCCCGUAGGAGUCUGGGCCGUGUCUCAGUCCCAGUGUGGCUGAUCAUCCUAUCAGACCAGCUACGGAUCGUCGCCUUGGUGAGCCGUUACCUCACCAACCAGCUAAUCCGACAUAGGCUCAUCCGAUAGCGCGAGGCCCGAAGGUCCCCCGCUUUCCCCCGUAGGGCGUAUGCGGUAUUAGCCUGGGUUUCCCCAGGUUAUCCCCCACUACCGGGCAGAUUCCUAUGCAUUACUCACCCGUCCGCCGCUCGCCACCAGGGAGCAAGCUCCCCGUGCUGCCGCUCGACUUGCAUGUGUUAGGCCUGCCGCCAGCGUUCAAUCUGAACCAAGAUCAAAUUCUGA